UGCAAGUCGAGCGGUAACAGACAUAAUUGAUCUUGCUUGCAAGGUCAUGGUGCUGACGAGCGGCGAACGGGUGAGUAACACGUAGGAAUAUACCCAGUAGCGGGGGAUAGCUCGAGGAAACUCGAAUUAAUACCGCAUACGACCUUAGGGUGAAAGAAGGCCUCUUCUUGAAAGCUUUCACUAUUGGAUUAGCCUGCGUAAGAUUAGCUUGUUGGUGGGGUAAAGGCCUACCAAGGCAACUAUCUUUAGCUGGUCUGAGAGGACGAUCAGCCACAUUGGGACUGAGACACGGCCCAGACUCCUACGGGAGGCAGCAGUAGGGAAUAUUGGACAAUGGGGGCAACCCUGAUCCAGCUAUACCGCGUGUGUGAAGAAGGCUCUAGGGUCGUAAAGCACUUUAAGCAAGGAAGAAGAAUUAAAGAUUAAUACUCUUUAAUUUUGACAUUAUUUGCAGAAUAAGGACCGGCUAACUCCGUGCCAGCAGCCGCGGUAAUACGGAGGGUCCAAGCGUUAAUCGGAAUUACUGGGCGUAAAGCGCGCGUAGGCGGUUUAGAAAGUUGGAUGUGAAAUCCCCGGGCUCAACCUGGGAACUGCGUUCAAAACUACUAAGCUAGAGUGGGAGAGAGGGAAGUAGAAUUUCUGGUGUAGCGGUGAAAUGCGUAGAUAUCAGAAGGAAUACCAAUGGCGAAGGCAGCUUCCUGGCUCCAAACUGACGCUAAGGUGCGAAAGCGUGGGUAGCAAACAGGAUUAGAUACCCUGGUAGUCCACGCCGUAAACGAUGACAACUAGCCGUUGGACAGAAUUAACUGUUCAGUGGCGCAGCUAACGCAUUAAGUUGUCCGCCUGGGGAGUACGGCCGCAAGGCUAAAACUCAAAUGAAUUGACGGGGGCCCGCACAAGCGGUGGAGCAUGUGGUUUAAUUCGAUGCAACGCGAAAA
Molecule: ribosomal RNA, 938 nt
Filed under: uncultured bacterium
Lineage: Bacteria
Description: bacterial SSU rRNA
Rfam family: Bacterial small subunit ribosomal RNA
Source: RNAcentral